This 332-nucleotide ribosomal RNA is filed under the name uncultured Gemmatimonas sp. RNAcentral's name for it is "bacterial SSU rRNA". It matches the Rfam family "Bacterial small subunit ribosomal RNA", at positions 568 to 898 of the family's 1533-position model. The record is from RNAcentral. Lineage: Bacteria; Pseudomonadati; Gemmatimonadota; Gemmatimonadia; Gemmatimonadales; Gemmatimonadaceae.
CGCGUAGGCGGCCGGGUAAGUAGGGGGUGAAAUCUCACAGCUCAACUGUGAGGCUGCCUUCUAGACUGCCUGGCUUGAGCACGGUAGAGGCUGGUGGAAUUCCCGGUGUAGCGGUGGAAUGCGUAGAGAUCGGGAAGAACAUCGGUGGCGAAGGCGGCCAGCUGGGCCGUUGCUGACGCUGAGGCGCGAAAGCGUGGGGAGCAAACAGGAUUAGAUACCCUGGUAGUCCACGCUGUAAACGAUGGGUACUAGGCGUCGGGGGGAGCGACCCCUUCGGUGCCGUCGCUAACGCAGUAAGUACCCCGCCUGGGGAGUACGGUCGCAAGACUGAA